This 279-nucleotide unclassified non-coding RNA is filed under the name Hevea brasiliensis (rubber tree). The record is from RNAcentral. Lineage: Eukaryota; Viridiplantae; Streptophyta; Magnoliopsida; Malpighiales; Euphorbiaceae.
UAUCAAUUGCAGUGUAAAUCAUUGCCACCAAGGCAACAAAAAUCCUCUAAUUAACUGACUGUUUUCCUCAGUCAAUCCAUCUAUUCAUCUACCCCUGUUCUCUAUCAAUUCAAAUAAGACAGGAGCUUGACUUGAAAAUAGAGGUAAAAAUGCCAAGAAGAAUCCGUAAAGUAAAGUCUCUGGUCGACUCUCCAGGAAGAAAUCGAGACUGAAAGAAACCCUUAAGAGCAGAUCUCACUCGUGCUUCAAUCCACCGAAUUGAGGAGAUUUGUUCUAGAG